This is a non-coding RNA of Salvelinus sp. IW2-2015, 2181 nucleotides long. NCBI's taxonomy places the organism in Eukaryota, Metazoa, Chordata, Actinopteri, Salmoniformes, Salmonidae. The record is from RefSeq and is a predicted model, not a curated record.
UGAGUAGGUGUGUCCAAACUUUUGAGUGGUACUGUAUAUAUGUUGGGCAUUACUUGUAUAUACCUCCCUCUCUCUUGUGCACAAUUGCCAGAAUUCCGGUUGGAUCUCCCCCUUCAAGACAAGACAAUUUUUCACAGCAGAGUAAAAUGUUUUAUUAGCAUUUCAUAAACAUUACUCGGAAACCUACCCUAUACAACUGUAUUAAUUGGUGACGAUGUAGUUUCAAGGGUCUUGAGUCUCRUCAAUUAUCAGCACUCUCUUCCUCCUUUUACUCAACUAAAUACUCAAGCUAUCCUCUUAUCUCAUUGAAACUUGUUUCAUGUGAUCACUGUUUGUCUGCUAUGGUAAACCAGAUUGUGCUCUCCCCCUGACUCUCUUUAUGUCAUAACAGUAGCUUUUCCAUAUCCGUCCAAAUCAUAAGGUCAAAUGGUGUCUUUCACACACACGCACACAUAGUUCACUCAGUCAUGACACUCUUGAGACAGCAAUUAUAUAUUUGUUUUAAUCAGUCUUUUAAAAUCUGUAAUUGUCAUUCCGCUUUUUCAGGUAGCGCCCACGUCCAUACACAUCUGUGCGUUGUUCGUCUUUAUGUUAUCGGAACGGGAGGAAAAUGUUAUUGUAAGAGUUGAAAUGAAUAGCUCUGUCCUGACUAGACUGCAGGACUAAAAGAACGGUACUGAAAGCAGAGGCAGUCUUUCAAAAGGUACUGAAAAUAGGUGACCGUGUGAAUGAAUUGUUUACUUCGACUGUUUGUUGCUUUAACGCUGUUUAUUUUGACGUUUCUAAAAGGUAACGGUCACUGGAGGGACACUAGAUCAGAGAUUAAACAAACAAAUCUCAACUUUUGAAUUUAAUAUAGUUAAAACGUGUCCCGCAGACAGUAUUUUAUGGUGAAUGUUCAUACAGCUUCCCAUGUUGUACAUUUUUAACAUUCCUUUUUUGUUUUAAACCAAGAAAAUUCUACUGAAUCAUGAUUUUUCACUUUGUGCUGUUCUGAGGUAGACUACUUAUCUGACAUUGGAGACCGCUCAUUGAUAUGUGCAGUUCUUCUAUUGAACACAAGAUGGCAACCGCUCCUAUAUUUGUUGAACUUGUAUUCUAACACAAGUAAACUGCUGUAUUUACUGUACAUGAAGUUUCACAGAAAAUUCUUUGACCUAGUCAUAUUUUCCAAGGUUUGAUUCAAAUAUUAGGAUUGUAAAGCAUUAAUUUCCAUUUCUGAACUUUACCGAUAUGAGUUCUAAUGGUUUCCCCGUGGGCUAUGUUAUUCCUCAUUUGCUCACCUCGACAUUCUCUAUUACACAACAGACGUAUUUUCUAAAKCUAGGUUGCGUCCCAAAUGGCACCCAUUUAGGGUUAGGAUUAUACGGAUUUGGUCAAAAGUAAUGCAUUAUGUAGGGAAUCCGCUACCAUUUGGGAYGCAUCCCUAGACUUCUCAUUCUGUCCCACAGAGCUUUAAUAGUUUGUUGAAGUUAGGAUGAAAUCCUUUGGUAAAGCUACGUACCAAGCAACGACGUUAUCACAUGAAUUGGAGGUGUUGCAUGAAUGUUAACUACACAUAAGCCUUAACUGAUUUAUGGAUGAAGUUUGACACCACCUUCCUGGUAGGCUAUAUCKUCGUAUGAUAUAGCAAUGAGUCGGCAUAUCAUUUCACUGUAAAACCCAAUCACGUGUCUUCCUGUUUGGAUAGCCAAUCAUUUCAGAGAGAGGCACCUUUUUUUUAACAGAAGUGCAGGGAGUGUAUCCGUUACAUGCCAUCGUGUAGGUUCUCCAGUUUGAUGCUCUUUCAUGUGCACCACCAUUAUCCCUAGAUUGCACAGUAUAACCGAAUCAUAGUAGCCUAUAGGCUAACAUCACACUACUUACCACAUGCAAUUAAUGUCUCAUUUGAAUGGACAAUUAGUACUGUCAUAUGCUUUUAAUGUAGACGAGUAUGUAUGAAGCCUUAUGAUGGAGGUCAUUUGAGGAAAAAAACUAACUAUUGUUAGGCUGUAUAAAUUCAGCUAUGUAGAGCAGGCUCUGCAAUGAGCAAUUUGUAAGGAUGGUUCUUCUUUUGUCUGUUAAUAUCAUUGUACAUAAUGACUUCAACAAUGUAACUUGUAGCGACUUAAUCUGUUUAAUAAGAGAGUGUAAAUUCACACUACCUGGAGGUGUGUUUAAUAAAGUAUUCGUAAAAUCACA